CCAGUCGGCCGGGCGGCCGCUCCGCUCAGGCGGGGAGGAAAGUCCGGGCUCCAUGGAAACACGGUGCCGGCUAACAGCCGGCGGGGGAAACCUCAGGGAAAGUGCCACAGAGAGCAGACCGCCCCGCCUGUAAAUCGGCCCCUUUGCGGGGCAGGCCGCGACAGACGGGCCGAUUUACCGGCGGGGUAAGGGUGAAAGGGUGGGGUAAGAGCCCACCGCGCGCCUGGCGACAGGGGCGGCACGGCAAACCCCACCGGGAGCAAGACCGAAUAGGGAUGGCGCGAAGGGCAACCUUCAGGGCUGUUUCCGGCCCGGCCAUCCGGGUUGGUUGCACGAGGCGGAUGGCAACAUCCGUCCCAGAUGAAUGGCCGCCACGUUCCGCAGUCGCGAGAUUGCGGGGCCAUACAGAACCCGGCUUACAGGCCGGCUGGCAAU
RNAcentral lists this RNase P RNA (435 nucleotides) under Hyphomicrobiales bacterium. Its description in RNAcentral is "RNase P RNA component class A". It matches the Rfam family "Bacterial RNase P class A". From Rfam's summary of the family: Ribonuclease P (RNase P) is a ubiquitous endoribonuclease, found in archaea, bacteria and eukarya as well as chloroplasts and mitochondria. Its best characterised activity is the generation of mature 5'-ends of tRNAs by cleaving the 5'-leader elements of precursor-tRNAs. The record is from RNAcentral. Lineage: Bacteria; Pseudomonadati; Pseudomonadota; Alphaproteobacteria; Hyphomicrobiales.